UGGGGAAUAUUGGACAAUGGGCGCAAGCCUGAUCCAGCAAUGCCGCGUGUGUGAAGAAGGCCUUCGGGUUGUAAAGCACUUUUAUCAGGAGCGAAACGCUGUCGGCUAAUACCCGGCGGAACUGACGGUACCUGAGGAAUAAGCACCGGCUAACUUCGUGCCAGCAGCCGCGGUAAUACGAAGGGUGCAAGCGUUAAUCGGAAUUACUGGGCGUAAAGCGUGCGUAGGCGGUUUCUUAAGUCUGCUGUGAAAUCCCCGGGCUCAACCUGGGAAUGGCAGUGGAUACUGGGAGGCUAGAGUGCGUCAGAGGGUGGUGGAAUUCCCGGUGUAGCGGUGAAAUGCGUAGAGAUCGGGAGGAACAUCAGUGGCGAAGGCGGCCACCUGGGACAACACUGACGCUGAGGCACGAAAGCGUGGGGAGCAAACAGGAUUAGAUACCCUGGUAGUCCACGCCCUAAACGAUGCGAACUGGAUGUUGGUCUCAACUCGGAGAUCAGUGUCGAAGCUAACGCGUUAAGUUCGCCGCCUGGGGAGUACGGUCGCAAGACUGAAACUCAAAUGAAUUGAC
Molecule: ribosomal RNA, 568 nt
Filed under: uncultured bacterium
Lineage: Bacteria
Description: partial 16S ribosomal RNA
Rfam family: Bacterial small subunit ribosomal RNA
Source: RNAcentral